CCUACGGGCGGCAGCAGUGGGGAAUAUUGGACAAUGGGCGAAAGCCUGAUCCAGCCAUGCCGCGUGUGUGAAGAAGGCCUUCGGGUUGUAAAGCACUUUCAGUGGGGAAGAAAGCCUUGGGGCUAAUACCCUCGAGGAAGGACAUCACCCACAGAAGAAGCACCGGCUAACUCCGUGCCAGCAGCCGCGGUAAUACGGAGGGUGCGAGCGUUAAUCGGAAUUACUGGGCGUAAAGCGCGCGUAGGCGGUCUGAUAAGCCGGUUGUGAAAGCCCCGGGCUCAACCUGGGAACGGCAUCCGGAACUGUCAGGCUAGAGUGCAGGAGAGGAAGGUAGAAUUCCCGGUGUAGCGGUGAAAUGCGUAGAGAUCGGGAGGAAUUCCAGUGGCGAAGGCGGCCUUCUGGACUGACACUGACGCUGAGGUGCGAAAGCGUGGGUAGCAAACAGGAUUAGAUACCCCAGUAGUC
This 465-nucleotide ribosomal RNA is filed under the name Vreelandella stevensii. RNAcentral's name for it is "partial 16S ribosomal RNA". It matches the Rfam family "Bacterial small subunit ribosomal RNA", at positions 338 to 795 of the family's 1533-position model. The record is from RNAcentral. Lineage: Bacteria; Pseudomonadati; Pseudomonadota; Gammaproteobacteria; Oceanospirillales; Halomonadaceae.